Molecule: non-coding RNA, 3985 nt
Organism: Paramormyrops kingsleyae
Lineage: Eukaryota; Metazoa; Chordata; Actinopteri; Osteoglossiformes; Mormyridae
Source: RefSeq, a predicted model, not a curated record
CUCGUUCUUUUCAAGAUUUGCUACGAAUGACCGUCAACGACGUUAGUCGUAUUCUCCAGUCACUCUGUCAUACCUCCACGAGUAAAAAGGAGAAGGGCUUCAAAUUAUAUGUUUCCAGCUAUAUCCAUAAUUACGAUGAUUGUAUUGCGGGAUUCCCAUUCUGUGCAGCUACAGAGCUGCCACUGUACCUGUGUGGCAGGCAGAGUUUUGUGCAAUCAUGUGGCAGCACUUCUGUACCAGACAGCGCAUUACUCACAGCUGAGGAUCACUGCUGUUCCCCCGAUACAAAGCUGCACAGAGACUGAACAACAAUGGCAUAAACCUAGAACCAUGGACCAACUUGUAUAAGGGAGUAAGUUCACCUCUGCCUGAUCUUUCCGUACUCAAAGUGGAUGAGAUCUACAGUGGCCUUCCCCCUGAUGUUGCUCCACUCAUAACAAUGAUGGCUGUAUCCUCAGAUGUACCUUUGGUUGAUUCAGCGUUUGGGAAAGUGCAAGAAGGAAAUGUUUUGUCAUACCACUUGCCAGUUAGGAGUCCCCCAAAAACCCAUCCAUACACAGAUGCCCCUUUUCCCCUACAGCUGCCACUUAAACACUACAGAUUAGGACCACCUUCUUGUUCUUUUGUUUACACUGAACAUCAGCAACUCCACAUGAAUUCCCUACAAACAUCCCUACACACAGCACACAAGGUAGAGAGCAACACGCGGAAGCAGUGUUUCAGCAACGAGUGCCACCAACUAAGUUGGGCUCGUGUCACCGCCUCCAAAUUCAGAGAGGUCUGUCACACCAGGGGGCAAAGCUCUGCUGAAAAUCUAGCAAAAAGGCUCCUGAAGCCAAGCUGUCAGACUGCAGACAUGAGGAGGGGGCUGGAGAUGGAACCUGCAGCAGUAGAAGAGUACCGCAGAGUAAUGGAAGUUAACCACUAUCCCUGUGGCUUCCUUAUCCACCCAGAUGCACCAUGGAUGGGGUCUACACUAGAUGGGAUUGUGUAUGAUCCAAAGGAGCAGCCAGUGUUUGGCCUUCUUGAAAUUAAAUCCCCAAAUUUGCAGAGCUAUGUGGACUGCCCAUAUAUAAAGAUCUGUGAGGGCACACAUACUAAGGAAAUCCCAUCCUUACUUCUGGCAGGUCCAGGGUCAGAUGCUCACUUCUGGCUUUGACUGGUGUGACUUUAUGGUUUAUGCACAAGAUGACAUGUUCAUCCAGAGGAUCCCCAGAGAUGAGGAAAUGAUGAAAACUAUUAAAGAAAAAGUUGACUAUUUCUUUUUUUUAUUUUUACCUCCACACUUCCCUCUGCAAAUAGGACUGUUUCGUAAUGAAUGUGUUGUAAUUUGGCAUUCGAAAUGUUGAAUUUAAUUAGAUUGUAGUAUGGCAAAUGAACAACGUUGCACAAGUGGAAUCUGUUUUUUGUCUUGUGUAAACUGCAACACAACUGAGAGGUGGGUAAGUAAAAAACCUGAUAGUAAUAAGUUGAACAAAGUGAAUUUAUUUUAAUAAAUCAACAGUAGUAAUUUGAAAUUGACAAAGAAUAUACAGAUAAACUUUUAAUAUUUACAGCACCUAUAUAAAGAUAUAUAGCUAUUGAUCUGUACACUGUAACUGAGUUUACAACUGGGGGCAGCGUGUGGCUCAGUGGGCUAAGCCUGUGUGCCUGUAAUCAGGUCACCAAUUCAAACCCAGCCUCAGCACGUCUUUGGGUCCUUGAGCAAGGCUCUUAACCCCCCAGCUCCUUGGGCGCUGCUACAGAUCUUUGCUCAAGCCUAGGUGGGUAACAAAUCUUUAAUUUCAAACGGUAAAAUGCUGAAAAGUACAGUAAGUUUAGAAAAACAAAGAGAUUGGCUUAGGACAGGGGUGCCCAAUCCUGCUCCUGGAGAGCUACCACCCUGCAGAGCUUAGGUAAUUUAACACGCCUCAUACAGAUAACACCAGCCAACAUUUUAAUAUUUUUUGUUAGGUGAUUUAACAAAAACAAGUGCAUGUUCUACAGUUUUUCAUGUAGUUUUAGAAUAUGGCUACCAAUAUGCCGCCACACAUCUGGUUUUGUCACAAUUUACAAUUAAAGUUCAACAUAAAUUACACUAGCUGACAUCAAAUUUGGCGAAUAAUGACAUUUCGAAUGACAUUUUUCAAACACCGUUCAUAAACAAACAUUUUUUGUAUAUUUAGUUUUGCUCCAGCACAUCUGGUUUUUCUGUGAUUUCGUCAUAUAAAAUCACCAGUAACCUGACAGUACCGGAAAGCGGACCACAGUUCUGCAUACAAAGGUCGGCGUCAGUGGACCUGGAGCAGCAUACCUGUAAGUUUACAUAACUGCAAGCUGCCUGUAAACCCUGCUGACUGGUUUGUACUAAAAAUUAGGUUACUGGUGAUUUUAUAUGACUGGUAUCAAAAUGACAUUAUUAGGUAUACAAUGCAUUGUAUAUGAAAAAAACUCAAAAUCACAAAAAAAACUGACUAAAAAUGUUUAAGAACGGUGUUUGAAAAAUGUCAUUUGAUAUUAUUCACCAAAUUUGAUGUCAGCUAGUGCAAUCAGGCACUUCAGUAGCACCUCAGUAUGAGAGUCAACUAUGUUGAAGUUAAGCUGGUUCUCAUACUGAGGGCCUGUUUAUCUGUAUCAGGUGUGUUAAAUUUGGGCUGUACCUAAGCUCUGCAGGGUGGUAGCUCUCCAGGAGCACCCCUGGCUUAUGGGCACUUAUUUGUGUAGCAGUACUGUAGUAUAUGACAGAGUAAACAAGUCACAGUCAACAUAACUGGUAACCAGAUCCUUACAGAUCCCAGGACAGUGUAGAGAAAGUUGCUCCAUGUUGUGAUGAUCCUACUGAUUGUGGACUGGUGGAUUCCAUAUCUGUCAGCAAGGUCCCACUGUUUUAAGCCCAGUGCCAGGUAGUUGAAGAACAGGAACAUCUCAUCUAUGGGCUGGCAAAACAGAUUUUGGAAACAGUUAUGUUAUUUAACCAUCAAGCUAUUUCCCUCUAUUUGAUAAAUGGAUGUACCAUUAUUAUAGGAAAUAAUUAUUUUGUCUAUAUUGUUCAUCCAAAAUUAAAUUUUGUUUGUAUAAUGUUUAAUGAAUUCAUAUAAUAUAUAUAUAUAUAUAUAUAAGUAGUUUGUACUGUGUACUUAAACGCCAGAAUAAAAGGAGUUGUAGCUGUUGUAAAUCUAGGGGAUACACUGGAGAUAUUACGUUAAGUUACAUGAUACAUCAUAGUAAAUACUUACUGCAGAUGUACUUGGCUCUGUUGUGGUGCCUUUGUCACGCUGACCAUAAACGGCAGUGACGGCUCUAUUAAUGCCCAGAAGCGCAUGAGGUGCUCAUAGGAUGCAAAUCUGCAUAAUACAAAUACAAUAUGUUAGCAUGUUCCCUUCUAACAAUGCCUUACAGUUUUUAAUUAAUCUUAUUCAUUAUCAGUGUAUCUACAGUAUAUCUUACCUUGUGAAAAGUCGUUCUGAAGUUUGGCAACACUUCAAACUUGUAUCAACAAAUAAGAGACCAAGAAACAAAAGAUUGAUGAGGCCUUGAUCAAUAUGAUUGUAAAGGAUUCACAACCCUUUAGCAUUGUGGAUGACGCUGGAUUUAGGGAGUUUGUGAGUAUCUUGGAUCCAACCUACAUUCUCCCCUCCAGGCAAACAUUAAAGGGUUUGGUAGCAGAGAAAUUUAAGAUAGAAAAAGAGAAAGCAAAUGAAGAGGUGAAAAAGGCCAAGGCAGUAAGACUAACUUCUAACGUGGACAUCCAUACAUAUGGAUGCUUAUUUAGCAGUCACAUGCCAUUUUAUAAAUGAAAAGACUGAGCUGUCUACAAUUCUAUUAGGAGUAGGAAAAUUCCCAGAGUCUCAUACUGCAGAAAACAUGGCUGUAGUCAAGGCAGUCUUGAUGGAGGAGUGGGGCAUACAGAAUAAAGUCCGAUGCCUUGUGACUGACGCUGCACCAAACAUGAUUGCCUGUGCCAGCAAUUUAAAGGUCAGACGCACAACUUGCAUUGCACAUGCAC